AAACAUUUCCGUUUGUCUUCACUCAAAAAACAUCCAAGGAUCAAAAGUUUAUGCAAAACUAGAAAAAGUCACUUACUUGAGUGAUGCAAAGGACAGUGCCUGGAGCUAUAGAUAUUGUUACUUUCUCCUAAAUUGAGGUGUGGAUAAAUAAUUCAUUUUCAGUUAAGAUCUAAGAGUAGUCAACUAUGUUGUACGCAGAGCAGGCCCACUGAAAAUAAUGAACAUGACUAAGCUUGGUCCUUUAAUUUCAAUGGGUCUACUUUGAGUAAAACUGAAAUCGCUGUUCCCCUGAAUGAUUUAAGGGCAACUGGUUUUAAUAUUUCCAGAGAUGGAGAAUUGGCCAUUGUAUGCGCCUGCCUUUCCAAUAGACCUUGGUAUAACCUGAAAUGUGCAUAACACCAAACAGAGUCUCAUGGAACAGAAUCUCUCCAAAGGUGGUGGACUCUCCUUCACUGGAGAUAUUUAAGCAGAGGAUGGAUGGCCAUCUGAUGGGGUGCUUUAGUUGAGAUUCAUGCAUUGGAAGAGGUUGGACUAGAUGACCGUUGGGGUCCCUUCCACCUCUACAAUUCAGUGAUUCUAUAUGUAUGUCUGCUAUCUCCUCCAAGACUUCAGCUUUUCGAUUCUUACCGGAUGCAGACACAGAUGACUAUGUUUCUAGCCAAUUUUUUCUCCUCCACACCUGCCUUGUUUUCCAACUACCUUUCACACUAUUUUGUAACAUUUUGGUUGGCAUAAUAAAAGUAUUGUCCCAAUAUG
Molecule: non-coding RNA, 756 nt
Organism: Podarcis lilfordi (Lilford's wall lizard)
Lineage: Eukaryota; Metazoa; Chordata; Lepidosauria; Squamata; Lacertidae
Source: the annotation of a GenBank genome assembly